RNAcentral lists this ribosomal RNA (316 nucleotides) under uncultured Dickeya sp. Its description in RNAcentral is "bacterial SSU rRNA". It matches the Rfam family "Bacterial small subunit ribosomal RNA", at positions 1027 to 1343 of the family's 1533-position model. The record is from RNAcentral. Lineage: Bacteria; Pseudomonadati; Pseudomonadota; Gammaproteobacteria; Enterobacterales; Pectobacteriaceae.
CUCUGAGACAGGUGCUGCAUGGCUGUCGUCAGCUCGUGUUGUGAAAUGUUGGGUUAAGUCCCGCAACGAGCGCAACCCUUAUCCUUUGUUGCCAGCACUUCGGGUGGGAACUCAAGGGAGACUGCCGGUGAUAUACCGGAGGAAGGUGGGGAUGACGUCAAGUCAUCAUGGCCCUUACGAGCAGGGCUACACACGUGCUACAAUGGCGUAUACAAAGAGAAGCGACCUCGCGAGAGCAAGCGGACCUCAUAAAGUACGUCGUAGUCCGGAUUGGAGUCUGCAACUCGACUCCAUGAAGUCGGAAUCGCUAGUAAUC